GCUUGCACCUUUCACGUGAGUGGCGAACGGGUGAGUAACACGUGGACAACCUGCCUCAAGGCUGGGGAUAACAUUUGGAAACAGAUGCUAAUACCGAAUAAAACUUAGUGUCGCAUGACACAAAGUUAAAAGGCGCUUCGGCGUCACCUAGAGAUGGAUCCGCGGUGCAUUAGUUAGUUGGUGGGGUAAAGGCCUACCAAGACAAUGAUGCAUAGCCGAGUUGAGAGACUGAUCGGCCACAUUGGGACUGAGACACGGCCCAAACUCCUACGGGAGGCUGCAGUAGGGAAUCUUCCACAAUGGGCGAAAGCCUGAUGGAGCAACGCCGCGUGUGUGAUGAAGGCUUUCGGGUCGUAAAGCACUGUUGUAUGGGAAGAACAGCUAGAAUAGGAAAUGAUUUUAGUUUGACGGUACCAUACCAGAAAGGGACGGCUAAAUACGUGCCAGCAGCCGCGGUAAUACGUAUGUCCCGAGCGUUAUCCGGAUUUAUUGGGCGUAAAGCGAGCGCAGACAGUUUAUUAAGUCUGAUGUGAAAGCCCGGAGCUCAACUCCGGAAUGGCAUUGGAAACUGGUUAACUUGAGUGCAGUAGAAGUAAGUGGAACUCCAUGUGUAGCGGUGGAAUGCGUAAAUAUAUGGAAAAACACCAGUGGCGAAAGCGGCUUACUGGACUGCAACUGACGUUGAGGCUCGAAAGUGUGGGUAGCAAACAGGAUUAGAUACCCUGGUAGUCCACACCGUAAACCAAUGAACACUAGGUGUUAGGAGGUUUCCGCCUCUUAGUGCCGAAGCUAACGCAUUA
RNAcentral lists this ribosomal RNA (800 nucleotides) under Leuconostoc mesenteroides. Its description in RNAcentral is "bacterial SSU rRNA". It matches the Rfam family "Bacterial small subunit ribosomal RNA", at positions 78 to 862 of the family's 1533-position model. Lineage: Bacteria; Bacillati; Bacillota; Bacilli; Lactobacillales; Lactobacillaceae. The record is from RNAcentral.